GCAAAAUUGGAGGAGAGUGGUGCUUUGACUGGAGCGCUCACGAUUCACGAGCGCAAAAAAUUGUGAGGCCCCAGCAACCGGAAGCAUGGCCACCGAAGUGUGCAACAUUGGGCGACUCCCGUGGCGAUACGGCAACCAGAACGAAAACGGGAAAGCCGUGUGGAAUCCAAGCCGUAAUCAGCUGUGGUCGUACAUUGGUUCAUCGUCAACAGAACGUCCAGCGACUGUCACGGCUCGUCGACAAAAUCAACUGGUCCCACGGUGCAACACGCAGAAAAAGAAUGGGGGAUGGUUUCAACAAAACGUUUUGUUAUUUUAUUUGAUAUUUUUAAUGCAGAUUUUUUGAUAACUUUCACAGAAAAAUCGAAUGUGAUCAAUAACAAAAUUUUGUUAUUUAUGCACACACAUUUUUUAUCACUUACAAAUGAAAUUUGGUUUAAUUUGAAACCAAAAUUCGGUUUUAUGCAUUAUACGUGUAAACGAUAAGUUGAGAAUGACAAAAAGAAAAAAAAAUAUCAAAAAAUUUGAACACCCGACUGAACAAAAGCAAUAAUAAGAUGACCGACGAGCUUUGUGGCACAAAGCCGGACAACUGUUUUUUCUGGGCCAGUCAUCGAGAACCCCGGUACCGAUAAUCAAAUAUUCAGGAUUGGAAAAUGGAAGCAUUUGAAACACGCCGCUACGAAAAUGGAAUUCAUUGUAGCAGAAGUUGCUGUGAAAAAUUUUCCGGUUUGGAAGUGUUCGGAAGCCGGCGCGAAGGGGCGCAUAUUCUUGGUGGGUGCGUGGCGGAAUACAGUCCGGCUUUUAGAGCGGUAGAAAGAACGACUGGUUCUCUUUUACCCGCAUAUUUGUUGCAUGGAAGAUAGACCUCGACCUCCAACUCCAUAGGACUUAUUCCGUCGAUCUGGCAUGCAAGGACGGUAAUUCUAGAUUGCUGACUCUUGAAAGUCAAGAACGAAAAGCUGCUUCCAGAGUUGGCCUUUCUACUAGCAGCAUCGGCGGUUUUCCAUUGUGUUGCUCCCAAGCCAGGCGGACUGGAAGUGAAACCCCGUUUUCAAUGGUAAUAAAUAA
Molecule: long non-coding RNA, 1071 nt
Organism: Uranotaenia lowii
Lineage: Eukaryota; Metazoa; Arthropoda; Insecta; Diptera; Culicidae
Exons: 3
Source: RefSeq, a predicted model, not a curated record